Molecule: ribosomal RNA, 497 nt
Filed under: uncultured bacterium
Lineage: Bacteria
Description: partial 16S ribosomal RNA
Rfam family: Bacterial small subunit ribosomal RNA
Source: RNAcentral
GAUGAACGCUGGCGGCGUGCCUAAUACAUGCAAGUCGAGCGAACAGACGAGGAGCUUGCUCGCCUGACGAUAGCGGGGGACGGGUGAGUGACACGUGGAUAACCUACCUAUAAGACUGGGAUAACUUCGGGAAACCGGGGCUCAUACCGGAAAAUAUAUUGAACCUCAUGGUUCAAUGGUGAAAGACGGUAUUGCUGAAACUUAUAGCUGGAUCGGGGCCGCAUUAGCUAGUUGGUAGGGUGACGGCUUACCAAGGCAACGAUCCGUAGCCGACCUGAGAGGGUGAUCGGCAACACUGGAACUGAGACACGGCCCAGACUCCUACGGGAGGCAGCGGUAGGGAAUCUUCCGCAAUGGGCGAAGGCCUGACGGAGCAACGCCGCGUGAGUGAGGAAGGUCUUCGGAUCUUAAACCUCUUUUAUUGGGGAAGAACAAAUGUGUAAGUAACUAUGCACGUCUUGACGGUACCUAAUCAGAAAGCCACGGCUAACUACGUG